AGAAAGCUAACCCAAGUUGCUUGGAAUACCUUGUCAUAGAGGGUGACAACCCCGUCUGGCUAACCGUUCUCCAUGUAUUGCCUUAUCAAAGAGUCGAGUUGUUUGGGAAUGCAGCUCAAAGUGGGUGGUAAACUCCAUCUAAAGCUAAAUACUGGUGAGAGACCGAUAGCGAACAAGUACUGUGAAGGAAAGGUGAAAAGAACUUUGAAAAGAGAGUGAAAUAGUAUGUGAAAUUGUUGAUAGGGAAGGAAAUGAGUGGAGAGUGGCCGAGGUUUCAGCCGCCCCUCGUGGGCGGUGUACUGCCGACGCCGAGUCAUCGAUAGCGAGACGAGGGUUACAAAUGGGAGCGCCUUUCGGGCGUUCUCCCCUAACCCUCCACACUGCCACCGACGACAUAAUCCACCCAUUUCACCCGUCUUGAAACACGGACC
RNAcentral lists this ribosomal RNA (431 nucleotides) under Yarrowia lipolytica. RNAcentral describes it as "eukaryotic LSU rRNA". It matches the Rfam family "Eukaryotic large subunit ribosomal RNA", at positions 170 to 667 of the family's 3401-position model. The record is from RNAcentral. Lineage: Eukaryota; Fungi; Ascomycota; Dipodascomycetes; Dipodascales.